GUGGGGAAUCUUGGACAAUGGGGGCAACCCUGAUGCAGCGACGCCGCGUGAGCGAUGAAGCCCUUCGGGGCGUAAAGCUCUUUCGACCGGAACGAUAAUGACGGUACCGGGAGAAGAAGCUGCGGCUAACUACGUGCCAGCAGCCGCGGUAAUACGUAGGCAGCAAGCGUUGUUCGGAGUUACUGGGCGUAAAGAGUGCGUAGGCGGUUUUCUAAGUUCGGUGUGAAAUCUCCCGGCUUAACUGGGAGGGUGCGCCGAAGACUGGGAAGCUGGAGUGUGGGAAAGGCAGGCGGAAUUCCUGGUGUAGCGGUGAAAUGCGUAGAUAUCAGGAGGAACACCGGCGGUGUAGACGGCUUGCUAGACCAUAACUGACGCUGAGGCACGAAAGCGUGGGUAGCAAACA
RNAcentral lists this ribosomal RNA (403 nucleotides) under uncultured bacterium. RNAcentral describes it as "bacterial SSU rRNA". It matches the Rfam family "Bacterial small subunit ribosomal RNA", at positions 354 to 774 of the family's 1533-position model. The record is from RNAcentral.